UGUUUAUGAUUUGGGCAAUUUCUCCUUUUGUCCUUGAACCUUUCCCACGCUUCAUAGAAUAGUUCAUCAAGUUGUUCUUCAAAAGAGAGCAACUCUCCCCUUAAGGU
Neltuma alba is the source of this 107-nucleotide small nucleolar RNA. The record is from RefSeq and is a predicted model, not a curated record. NCBI's taxonomy places the organism in Eukaryota, Viridiplantae, Streptophyta, Magnoliopsida, Fabales, Fabaceae.